AGUUUGAUCCUGGCUCAGAUUGAACGCUGGCGGCAGGCUUAACACAUGCAAGUCGAGCGGAGAUGAGGUGCUUGCACCUUAUCUUAGCGGCGGACGGGUGAGUAAUGCUUAGGAAUCUGCCUAUUAGUGGGGGACAACAUUCCGAAAGGAAUGCUAAUACCGCAUACGUCCUACGGGAGAAAGCAGGGGAUCUUCGGACCUUGCGCUAAUAGAUGAGCCUAAGUCGGAUUAGCUAGUUGGUGGGGUAAAGGCCUACCAAGGCGACGAUCUGUAGCGGGUCUGAGAGGAUGAUCCGCCACACUGGGACUGAGACACGGCCCAGACUCCUACGGGAGGCAGCAGUGGGGAAUAUUGGACAAUGGGGGGAAACCCUGAUCCAGCCAUGCCGCGUGUGUGAAGAAGGCCUUAUGGUUGUAAAGCACUUUAAGCGAGGAGGAGGCUACUGAGACUAAUACUCUUGGAUAGUGGACGUUACUCGCAGAAUAAGCACCGGCUAACUCUGUGCCAGCAGCCGCGGUAAUACAGAGGGUGCGAGCGUUAAUCGGAUUUACUGGGCGUAAAGCGUGCGUAGGCGGCUUUUUAAGUCGGAUGUGAAAUCCCCGAGCUUAACUUGGGAAUUGCAUUCGAUACUGGGAAGCUAGAGUAUGGGAGAGGAUGGUAGAAUUCCAGGUGUAGCGGUGAAAUGCGUAGAGAUCUGGAGGAAUACCGAUGGCGAAGGCAGCCAUCUGGCCUAAUACUGACGCUGAGGUACGAAAGCAUGGGGAGCAAACAGGAUUAGAUACCCUGGUAGUCCAUGCCGUAAACGAUGUCUACUAGCCGUUGGGGCCUUUGAGGCUUUAGUGGCGCAGCUAACGCGAUAAGUAGACCGCCUGGGGAGUACGGUCGCAAGACUAAAACUCAAAUGAAUUGACGGGGGCCCGCACAAGCGGUGGAGCAUGUGGUUUAAUUCGAUGCAACGCGAAGAACCUUACCUGGCCUUGACAUACUAGAAACUUUCCAGAGAUGGAUUGGUGCCUUCGGGAAUCUAGAUACAGGUGCUGCAUGGCUGUCGUCAGCUCGUGUCGUGAGAUGUUGGGUUAAGUCCCGCAACGAGCGCAACCCUUUUCCUUACUUGCCAGCAUUUCGGAUGGGAACUUUAAGGAUACUGCCAGUGACAAACUGGAGGAAGGCGGGGAACGACGUCAAGUCAUCAUGGCCCUUACGGCCAGGGCUAC
This 1214-nucleotide ribosomal RNA is filed under the name uncultured bacterium. RNAcentral's name for it is "bacterial SSU rRNA". It matches the Rfam family "Bacterial small subunit ribosomal RNA", at positions 10 to 1217 of the family's 1533-position model. The record is from RNAcentral.